RNAcentral lists this ribosomal RNA (497 nucleotides) under uncultured bacterium. RNAcentral describes it as "partial 16S ribosomal RNA". It matches the Rfam family "Bacterial small subunit ribosomal RNA", at positions 28 to 507 of the family's 1533-position model. The record is from RNAcentral.
GAUGAACGCUGGCGGCGUGCCUAAUACAUGCAAGUCGAGCGAACAGACGAGGAGCUUGCUCCUUUGACGUUAGCGGCGGACGGGUGAGUAACACGUGGAUAACCCACCUGUAUGACUGGGAUAACUUCGGGAAACCGGAGAUUAUACCGGAUGAUCUCUUGAACCGCAUGGCUCAUUAGUGAAAGACGGCUUUGCUGUCUGUUCUAGAUGGAUCUGCGCCGGAUUAGCUAGUUGGGAAGGUAAAGGCUUACCAAGGCUAGGAUGCGUAUCCGACCUGAGAGGCUGAUCGCCCACCCUGGAACUUAGACACCGACCUGACUCCUACGGGAGGCAGCAGUAGGGAAUCGUCCGCAAUGGGCGAAAGCCUGACGGAGCAACGCCGCGUGUGUGAUGAAGGUGUUCGGAUCGUAAAGCUCGGUUAUUAGUGAAGAACAAAUGUGUAAGGAACUGUGCACGUCUUGACGGUACCGAAUCAGAAAGCCACGGCUAACUACGUG